CUGAAACCUAGCUUACCCAUUCCUAUGAAACCCACCUUAACUAAACUAAUUAAACAUUUUGGAUUUUAAGAAGGGGAUAAAAAUGGCCCAAGCUAAGAGAAUAAGGAUUUUAACACCUCGGCCACCGUUUUGUCAAAGAUGGAGUUUUAGUAAGGGAUGCCUCCGACCUAGGAUACUGGUAUCAGAAAAGAUUAAUCUUCCUAAGUUACAGUUAAAUAAUCAUAUUACUUUAGACUAUCAAAUAGUCAGCCUAUUGAACAGGAUCCACCUCCCAAACGGGUACAUUUCUUUUAUCAAUUAAGUGGCCUAAAGCAGCCAUCUUCAAAAAGCGUUAAAGCUUCAUUGUUUUUAUCAAAAAUACCAUUAAUUAACUGUAACCCUUCACCUGUACUGAAUGAUCUCAUAGUUAUAUGAGAGCCUAUAUGUUAGAACUAGUAACAAGAAGAAGCCCCUCUCCAAAAUGUAAGCGUAAGCCAAAAUGAACUAUUCAUUGGCAUUUAAAGUUAUAAACCUAUUGUAGCAACUUAACAAGAAAAACCUACAACUGAUAAACGUCAACCUUACACAAGCACAUUUCUGGAAAGAUAAAAAGAAUAGGAAGGAACUCGGCAAACAACUAACCCCGCCUGUUUACCAAAAACAUCGCCUCCUGAUCACCCAUAGGAGGUCCAGCCUGCCCAGUGACUAAGUUAAACGGCCGCGGUACCCUAACCGUGCAAAGGUAGCGCAAUCACUUGUUCUUUAAAUGAGGACUAGUAUGAACGGCAUCACGAGGGUUAUGCUGUCUCCCUACUCUACUCAGUGAAACUGAUCUCCCCGUGAAGAAGCGGGGAUAAAAAUAUAAGACGAGAAGACCCCAUGGAGCUUUAAACUCAGUACCAACUGCCCAAAUAAGAACCUAUUAUACUUGCAGCUAUGGUUACUAGUUUUCGGUUGGGGUGACCACGGAGUAAAAUUAAACCUCCACGAUGAAAGGAACUAAUAACCUAACCUAUGAGCUACAGCUCUAAGUAUCAACAAAUUGACUAAUUGACCCAAUUACUUGAUCAACGAACCAAGUUACCCUGGGGAUAACAGCGCAAUCCAUUUCAAGAGCUCAUAUCGACAAAUGGGUUUACGACCUCGAUGUUGGAUCAGGGUAUCCCAGUGGCGCAGCCGCUACUAACGGUUCGUUGUCAACGAUAAAUCCCCUCU
RNAcentral lists this ribosomal RNA (1194 nucleotides) under Microhyla fissipes (ornate chorus frog). RNAcentral describes it as "partial 16S ribosomal RNA". It matches the Rfam family "Bacterial large subunit ribosomal RNA", at positions 1323 to 2599 of the family's 2925-position model. The record is from RNAcentral. Lineage: Eukaryota; Metazoa; Chordata; Amphibia; Anura; Microhylidae.